RNAcentral lists this ribosomal RNA (253 nucleotides) under uncultured bacterium. RNAcentral's name for it is "partial 16S ribosomal RNA". It matches the Rfam family "Bacterial small subunit ribosomal RNA", at positions 524 to 776 of the family's 1533-position model. The record is from RNAcentral.
GACGUAGGGCGCGAGCGUUGUCCGGAUUUAUUGGGCGUAAAGAGCUCGUAGGCGGCUUGUCGCGUCGACCGUGAAAACUUGGGGCUCAACCCCAAGCCUGCGGUCGAUACGGGCAGGCUAGAGUUCGGUAGGGGAGACUGGAAUUCCUGGUGUAGCGGUGAAAUGCGCAGAUAUCAGGAGGAACACCGGUGGCGAAGGCGGGUCUCUGGGACGGUACUGACGCUGAGACGCGAAAGCGUGGGGAGCGAACAGG